UUAUCGGAGAGUUUGAUCCUGGCUCAGGACGAACGCUGGCGGCGUGCCUAAUACAUGCAAGUCGAGCGGACAGAUGGGAGCUUGCUCCCUGAUGUUAGCGGCGGACGGGUGAGUAACACGUGGGUAACCUGCCUGUAAGACUGGGAUAACUCCGGGAAACCGGGGCUAAUACCGGAUGGUUGUCUGGACCGCAUGGUUCAGACAUAAAAGGUGGCUUCGGCUACCACUUACAGAUGGACCCGCGGCGCAUUAGCUAGUUGGUGAGGUAACGGCUCACCAAGGCGACGAUGCGUAGCCGACCUGAGAGGGUGAUCGGCCACACUGGGACUGAGACACGGCCCAGACUCCUACGGGAGGCAGCAGUAGGGAAUCUUCCGCAAUGGACGAAAGUCUGACGGAGCAACGCCGCGUGAGUGAUGAAGGUUUUCGGAUCGUAAAGCUCUGUUGUUAGGGAAGAACAAGUGCCGUUCAAAUAGGGCGGCACCUUGACGGUACCUAACCAGAAAGCCACGGCUAACUACGUGCCAGCAGCCGCGGUAAUACGUAGGUGGCAAGCGUUGUCCGGAAUUAUUGGGCGUAAAGGGCUCGCAGGCGGUUUCUUAAGUCUGAUGUGAAAGCCCCCGGCUCAACCGGGGAGGGUCAUUGGAAACUGGGGAACUUGAGUGCAGAAGAGGAGAGUGGAAUUCCACGUGUAGCGGUGAAAUGCGUAGAGAUGUGGAGGAACACCAGUGGCGAAGGCGACUCUCUGGUCUGUAACUGACGCUGAGGAGCGAAAGCGUGGGGAGCGAACAGGAUUAGAUACCCUGGUAGUCCACGCCGUAAACGAUGAGUGCUAAGUGUUAGGGGGUUUCCGCCCCUUAGUGCUGCAGCUAACGCAUUAAGCACUCCGCCUGGGGAGUACGGUCGCAAG
This 910-nucleotide ribosomal RNA is filed under the name Bacillus pumilus. RNAcentral's name for it is "bacterial SSU rRNA". It matches the Rfam family "Bacterial small subunit ribosomal RNA", at positions 1 to 892 of the family's 1533-position model. The record is from RNAcentral. Lineage: Bacteria; Bacillati; Bacillota; Bacilli; Caryophanales; Bacillaceae. RNAcentral also lists the same sequence under 1 other name.